GAUGAACGCUGGCGGCGUGCCUAAUACAUGCAAGUCGAGCGAACGGACGAGAAGCUUGCUUCUCUGAUGUUAGCGGCGGACGGGUGAGUAACACGUGGAUAACCUACCUAUAAGACUGGGAUAACUUCGGGAAACCGGAGCUAAUACCGGAUAAUAUUUUGAACCGCAUGGUUCAAAAGUGAAAGACGGUCUUGCUGUCACUUAUAGAUGGAUCCGCGCUGCAUUAGCUAGUUGGUAAGGUAACGGCUUACCAAGGCAACGAUGCAUAGCCGACCUGAGAGGGUGAUCGACCACACUGGAACUGAGACACGGUCCAGACUCCUACGGGAGGCAGCAGUAGGGAAUCUUCCGCGAUGGGCGAAAGCCUGACGGAGCAACGCCGCGUGAGUGAUGAAGGUCUUCGGAUCGUAAAACUCUGUUAUUAGGGAAGAACAUAUGUGUAAGUAACUGUGCACAUCUUGACGGUACCUAAUCAGAAAGCCACGGCUAACUACGUG
This 497-nucleotide ribosomal RNA is filed under the name uncultured bacterium. RNAcentral describes it as "partial 16S ribosomal RNA". It matches the Rfam family "Bacterial small subunit ribosomal RNA", at positions 28 to 507 of the family's 1533-position model. The record is from RNAcentral.